CAUAGGUUAAUGAGGCGAACCGGGGGAACUGAAACAUCUAAGUACCCCGAGGAAAAGAAAUCAACCGAGAUUCCCCCAGUAGCGGCGAGCGAACGGGGAGCAGCCCAGAGCCUGAAUCAGUGUGUGUGUUAGUGGAAGCGUCUGGAAAGGCGCGCGAUACAGGGUGACAGCCCCGUACACAAAAAUGCACAUGCUGUGAGCUCGAUGAGUAGGGCGGGACACGUGGUAUCCUGUCUGAAUAUGGGGGGACCAUCCUCCAAGGCUAAAUACUCCUGACUGACCGAUAGUGAACCAGUACCGUGAGGGAAAGGCGAAAAGAACCCCGGCGAGGGGAGUGAAAAAGAACCUGAAACCGUGUACGUACAAGCAGUGGGAGCACGCUUAGGCGUGUGACUGCGUACCUUUUGUAUAAUGGGUCAGCGACUUAUAUUCUGUAGCAAGGUUAACCGAAUAGGGGAGCCGAAGGGAAACCGAGUCUUAACUGGGCGUUAAGUUGCAGGGUAUAGACCCGAAACCCGGUGAUCUAGCCAUGGGCAGGUUGAAGGUUGGGUAACACUAACUGGAGGACCGAACCGACUAAUGUUGAA
This 587-nucleotide ribosomal RNA is filed under the name Escherichia coli. RNAcentral describes it as "partial 23S ribosomal RNA". It matches the Rfam family "Bacterial large subunit ribosomal RNA", at positions 165 to 793 of the family's 2925-position model. Lineage: Bacteria; Pseudomonadati; Pseudomonadota; Gammaproteobacteria; Enterobacterales; Enterobacteriaceae. The record is from RNAcentral.